This 301-nucleotide ribosomal RNA is filed under the name uncultured bacterium. Its description in RNAcentral is "partial 16S ribosomal RNA". It matches the Rfam family "Bacterial small subunit ribosomal RNA", at positions 509 to 807 of the family's 1533-position model. The record is from RNAcentral.
CAGCAGCCGCGGUAAUACGUAGGGUGCAAGCGUUAAUCGGAAUUACUGGGCGUAAAGCGUGCGCAGGCGGUUUGUUAAGACAGAUGUGAAAUCCCCGGGCUUAACCUGGGAACUGCAUUUGUGACUGGCAAGCUAGAGUAUGGCAGAGGGGGGUGGAAUUCCGCGUGUAGCAGUGAAAUGCGUAGAUAUGCGGAGGAACACCGAUGGCGAAGGCAGCCCCCUGGGCCAAUACUGACGCUCAUGCACGAAAGCGUGGGGAGCAAACAGGAUUAGAUACCCCUGUAGUCCCUGUCUCUUAUAC